AACGAACGCUGGCGGCAUGCCUAACACAUGCAAGUCGAACGAGACCUUCGGGUCUAGUGGCGCACGGGUGCGUAACGCGUGGGAACCUGCCCUUAGGUUAGGAAUAACUCCCCGAAAGGGGUGCUAAUACCGGAUAAUGUCUUCGGACCAAAGAUUUAUCGCCUUUGGAUGGGCCCGCGUUGGAUUAGCUAGUUGGUAGGGUAAAAGCCUACCAAGGCGACGAUCCAUAGCUGGUCUGAGAGGAUGAUCAGCCACACUGGGACUGAGACACGGCCCAGACUCCUACGGGAGGCAGCAGUGUGGAAUAUUGGACAAUGGGCGAAAGCCUGAUCCAGCAAUGCCGCGUGAGUGAUGAAGGCCUUAGGGUUGUAAAGCUCUUUUACCCGGGAUGAUAAUGACAGUACCGGGAGAAUAAGCGCCGGCUAACUCCGUG
This 433-nucleotide ribosomal RNA is filed under the name uncultured bacterium. RNAcentral describes it as "partial 16S ribosomal RNA". It matches the Rfam family "Bacterial small subunit ribosomal RNA", at positions 29 to 507 of the family's 1533-position model. The record is from RNAcentral.